CUUCCGGUUACUGACUCUGUGGCUGCUGCCUCCCACAACGCUGUGCUUGCAGACCCCAGGAGCGCUGGCUGUCCCUUCACUUCCUGAACAUGUGGAUGUGUGCUUUGGGUUCUUGACCUCAGCUCUUCCCAAGGUCUUCUUAGAGAAGGGUCUAAAUGAAGUCAUUUUUAGAGUAUUUGUUUUUGGUUACACAGGUGCUUCCGCCCAUGUGGCCUCGGAGUGGGACCCUGCGGGUCAUCAAUCUGUACAUUGCCUGAGAGCAGCCGUGUAUGCUCUGGAAGGGACAAGACCAGGUACCUGUCGGGGGAUGCGGCCGUGGUACCAGGCAUGGCUGCGCAGGUCCUCGCUGCUCAGGAGCAGCUCCUCCUCCAGCUCCUUCUUCAGUUUCUCGGGGGUCCUGUCCAUGAUGUGCCUCUCCUUGGAGAACUGCAACACAGAGUCAACCAUGAGCUCACCCUGCCCAGGCCACACCAGGCCAUGCCAGCUGGAGGUGACCGCCUGCUUCACUAAUCCAACCAGUUAUGCUACAGCCUGCAUUCAGGGAGAUGUGGCCACAGGACUCAGUUCUGACCAAGGAGCUGAGAUGUGAUGGCUGGAGACUCAACACCAUUCUGGACGCCAAAAAGAGCUGGCCUUGGCUGGAAGGUUCUGGCUAGGAGGAGAGGGCUAAAGCAUGCGAAGGCACAACAAUGAUGGAACUGAGCGAAGAAGAUACUCUAUCCCACUUCAGUGAAAACAUCAUGAGGCUUGAAGCAUGGAAGUUGCCUCACCCCCGUGUUUCCUGCCAGGUGGAACAAAGUGCUGAGAGAAUCAAACCAGCAAGCAAAGAGAAGAGGAGCAAGAGAUGGAAAGUGACCUCUAGCAUGCACAUCCCUAAGCCCCAGCUGAUUAUAUCAGCCGGCAAACUCCUCUUGUGACCUAGGCUAGUAUGAGUGGAAUCCCUGUCACUUGUGACCAAAGCAGUCCUGACCCAGAAACGCAGGGACUGGCUGAGGGCAGCCCAACAUUGGUGGCUGAGGGUUUAGACCAUCACACUCCAGAAAGUCAGAGUCACGGAAAAUCUUUGCCCAGGAAGGCAACAGGUAUAUAAAAAGAUACUUUUAGAGAGAUCUGGCUGCAGUGAGAGCAAUGGGCUGGAUGGGGCCAGGGCUGGAGGCACAGGUCAGAGUCUUUUGAAAUGUGCUGACAACGCCCAGAUCUCCAUCUCCAGCCCUUAGGGUCGGUGCCUGGUAGGGAUAUUUACUGGAAUCCGCAUUAAAGCUCAGAUGUCAAUAUGGAUAAAUUGAACUCAUCCCCUCUGCAAAGCCUGAUCUUCGCCCUUUUCCCCAGUCACUGGCAUCUCUUCUGUCCUCAUUACCUGAACUAGAACCCUCAGAAUCGGCUUCCAUUGGUUAAGACAUUCCUGAUUCUUUUACCUAUCCCCAUUCGAAUCCCCACUGUUUAGAUUACUGUUCUUUUCUCCUAGAACUUCUGCAAUAGCCUCCUAACAGUUUCCCUACCUCCCAUUUCUAGUCCCACAACCUGCCACCUACAAUACCACCAACCUUGUCAUAUUGCCCCUA
Molecule: long non-coding RNA, 1562 nt
Organism: Homo sapiens (human)
Lineage: Eukaryota; Metazoa; Chordata; Mammalia; Primates; Hominidae
Gene: BCAR3-AS1
Product: BCAR3 antisense RNA 1
Exons: 4
Source: RefSeq, marked predicted